This 710-nucleotide ribosomal RNA is filed under the name uncultured bacterium. Its description in RNAcentral is "bacterial SSU rRNA". It matches the Rfam family "Bacterial small subunit ribosomal RNA", at positions 164 to 853 of the family's 1533-position model. The record is from RNAcentral.
UAAUACCGAAUGCGGCUGCUGGGAGGCAUCUUCUGGCAACCAAAGCUGGGGACCGUAAGGCCUGGCGCUUCACGAUGAGCCCGCGGCCUAUCAGCUAGUUGGUGGGGUAACGGCCCACCAAGGCUAAGACGGGUAGCUGGUCUGAGAGGACGACCAGCCACACUGGAACUGAGACACGGUCCAGACACCUACGGGUGGCAGCAGUCGAGAAUUUUUCACAAUGGGCGCAAGCCUGAUGGAGCGACGCCGCGUGGGGGAUGAAGGGCUUCGGCCCGUAAACCCCUGUCAUUUGCGAACAAGGCGGCUGACCUAACACGUCAGACGUUGAUAGUAGCGAAAGAGGAAGGGACGGCUAGCUCUGUGCCAGCAGCCGCGGUAAUACAGAGGUCCCAAGCGUUGUUCGGAUUCACUGGGCGUAAAGGGUGCGUAGGUGGCGGGGUAAGUUCGGUGUGAAAGCUUCGAGCUCAACUCGGAAAUGGCAUUGAAUACUAUCCUGCUCGAGGGUCGGAGGGGAGACUGGAAUUCUCGGUGUAGCAGUGAAAUGCGUAGAUAUCGAGAGGAACACCAGUGGCGAAGGCGAGUCUCUGGACGACUCCUGACACUGAGGCACGAAAGCUAGGGGAGCAAACAGGAUUAAAUACCCUGGUAGUCCUGGCCGUAAACGGUGCGCAUUUGCUGUGAGCGGAAUCGACCCCGUUCGUGGCGAAGCU